CCUACGGGAGGCAGCAGUGAGGAAUAUUGGUCAAUGGACGCUAGUCUGAACCAGCCAUGCCGCGUGCAGGAAGACGGCUCUAUGAGUUGUAAACUGCUUUUGUACGAGGGUAAACGCAGAUACGCGUAUCUGUCUGAAAGUAUCGUACGAAUAAGGAUCGGCUAACUCCGUGCCAGCAGCCGCGGUAAUACGGAGGAUUCAAGCGUUAUCCGGAUUUAUUGGGUUUAAAGGGUGCGUAGGCGGUCGGAUAAGUUAGUGGUGAAAUCCCGAGGCUCAACUUCGGAAUUGCCUCUGAUACUGUCCGGCUAGAGAGUAGUAGCGGUAGGCGGAAUGUAUGGUGUAGCGGUGAAAUGCUUAGAGAUCAUACAGAACACCGAUUGCGAAGGCAGCUUACCAAGCUACUUCUGACGUUGAGGCACGAAAGCGUGGGGAGCAAACAGGAUUAGAUACCCCUGUAGUC
RNAcentral lists this ribosomal RNA (460 nucleotides) under uncultured bacterium. Its description in RNAcentral is "partial 16S ribosomal RNA". It matches the Rfam family "Bacterial small subunit ribosomal RNA", at positions 338 to 795 of the family's 1533-position model. The record is from RNAcentral.